Molecule: non-coding RNA, 4398 nt
Organism: Gasterosteus aculeatus aculeatus (three-spined stickleback)
Lineage: Eukaryota; Metazoa; Chordata; Actinopteri; Perciformes; Gasterosteidae
Source: RefSeq, a predicted model, not a curated record
CGCAUGCGUGAACCAGAAAAGUGCGUUUUAGAAUGAUUACUGCUGGUCAGUGGAGGGACAGAUUAUUCGUCUCUACACAACUGUUGUUUUAAUCCCCUGGGCGAGGAGAUUUAGCAAAGAAAAACCCCUGCUUUUAAACCCAGCAGCCAUAUUGUAUGGAAAAAACGACGGGAGGACUCCGCUUUUGUGAAAAAGUCGUUUUCUCCCGCACCUCCGUGAAGACUUUUGCGGAGUUUAAUUGCGGUUCUUGCCGGCGGUGGGUUUCCUUCGGACAGCUCGCUUUGCCAGCCGGUUCAGCAAUUCAGAGACUGGGACCUUUUUUCUUUUUGAAGGGAUUUUUCACAGAAUUGUGGUAAUUUCUUUUAGUUUUAAAGGUGUUUAAGGAACCUUGACAAACAUGAAGGACCGAUUGGAGCAACUCAAAGCGACGUGUGAUCAAGAUGACGACGAGGUGGAGAUUUGUGUGGACAAUGCAGCCUUCAUGGACGAAUUCUUCCUUCAGAUUGAGGACAUCAGGAACAGUAUCGAUAAAAUUGAUGAGAAUGUGUCUGAAGUCAAAAAGAUUUUCUCUGUCAUCCUGUCGGCUCCCACAUCAGAUCAGAAAACACAGGAUGACUUGGAGGCAAUCACCAAUGACAUAAAGAAGAUGGCUAACAAUGCAAGAAACAAACUCAAGACCAUCGAGAGGAAUUUGGAGUCAGAGGAGCAGGAGAGGGUGUCAGCUGACAUGCGGAUACGUAAAUCACAGCACGCAGUCCUGUCCAGGAAGUUUGUGGAGGUAAUGACAAAGUAUAAUGAAGCCCAGGUGGACUUCAGAGAGCGGAGUAAAGGACGUAUCAAGAGACAACUAGAGAUCACUGGAAAAGCAACAACAGAUGAUGAACUGGAUGAGAUGUUGGAGAGCGGCAACGCUGCUGUGUUUACUGCAGGGAUCGUGGACGCUGGGAUCUCUAAACAAGCUCUGAGUGAGAUUGAAGCCAGGCACAAAGACAUUGUCCGUCUGGAGAGCAGCAUCAAGGAGCUGCACGAUAUGUUUGUAGACAUCGCCAUGCUGGUGGAGAGCCAGGGUGACAUAGUUGACAACAUAGAGCAGAAUGUAUCCAAGUCACUGGACCAUAUAGUUGUGGCUAAGGAACAGACCAAAAAAGCCAUUAGGCACCAGGCUAAAGCGCGCAAGAACAUGAUCAUAACUGUUGUAGUCUGUGCUGUGGAUGUUCUCAUCUUCCUCACCGCCAUCCUCCCCCCUCGACACCAUCACUGGACUGCUGCUCUUAUCAUCAGUUAUUUAUCAUCCGCUCCAUCCUAUUCUCCGUCAGCCGGCGCGCCAAAGAGAAACCUUGAUGACUCCGUACGGAUAAAAUGUUGGCACGACAAAUACCUGCAACGCAUUUGCUCGCUGGAUAAAACAAGAAGAGCUCGGGAAUGUUCUUAAAACGUUGUAUCCAACCAGAACCGUCCGUACUGGUGUGUUAGGGUUUGUUUGGACGGUUUGAGGACGCUCUGCUGCAAAUGAGGAAACGAGAGAUUUGGGAAAUAACUGAUCAUAACGUCACUUAACAUUUCAUUGUGUAACAUUCGAUGCCAAAGAAUCAGCCCAGAAGCAUUUAGGGAAAUUAACUUUAAAGUCCGGUAAGUGGGACCCGUGAGAGGCCUUGUAGAUCUCCUCCUCCUUCUCCUGAUUCUUUACUUUUUAUGAGCCACGACACAUUCUGUGAUUGAAAAGCUAGCUACUGUAUAUUUACUGUGUUUUUAUUGUGUUGGUUUCGGGAAAUGUUUUAGCACUUUUCACAUUUCACUAUGUCCUUCUUUCUGAGAUUAGGUUCAGAUGGGAAUAAUAGCGUUAUCAAUUUUAGUGUUGUUUGUAUCCAGCCCUGAAUAGUUCUCAGUUCUUUCAACUUGAAGAGGAUCGGUGUGCUCACUUAUGAGUCUUCAGUUUGUAGAGCUCAGUGGUUUAUUUAAGUACAAAGGAGGUCCUCGUGAAUUCAAACACAAGUGCAGGUUAGAUGAGCAGAAAGAUAAAAAGCACCGUCGGGUACAUUCACAUGCAUCCAUUGCUUUAGAGACAUGCCUAAAUAUUUGUUCUGCGUCUUUGCUUACUUGUUACAAACCACCUCGACCGUCUACACUUAGAGACACGAUUGACUUUAUUGUUAAAAUGCUGUAAAGACGUAAUGCCAAAGGAGAGAGUGGUAACGGCAGCUACUUCAAUCUCCGGGCCAGAACAGCCCUAUAAGUAGGUAAUAGUAAUAUAUUUAUGAUACUUUUUAAUGACUUUGGUCAUUUAGGGAAGUUGAACCCACAGGGUGAAGUGUGAAGGGACACUGUAAAUAACCAAGAUGUCUCUUACUGGUGAGUCUUUACUAGUGCGAUAUACAUUUCCUGGCAUGUUUUUAAUCUCGUUAUAUUCCUACUGUAAAUGUUUACCUCAGUUGCCAGUUCAUUGGGUACAACUAUCUGAAACUAAUGCUUUAACACCACAGCGCAGCAAUAAAUCCUACCUACGGGCAGUGGAGGAAUGCUGGGUAAACGUUAUGGAUCUACUGGCUGCAAACGUCGCAGCUUAAGAGAUCACAAUUCAACAGCACCAUCAAGUGCGGCCUUCUAAUAGACAGUGGAGUCAAAUCGACACAUCUAAAACACUCCCAACCAUGAGUGUAUGUACCUUUUGUCGAUUUUAUCUUGCCACGGUUUGUUAAACUGAAAGGAUUCAUCGCUUGUCCGUGGUAUUGGACUGCAUUAGUUUUGGGGUUUCUGAUGAAUUGGCUUUAAUUCUGUUUCUGAACCAUUUAAGUAAGUGCUUUGUUCUUGUUGGAGGGAACCACAGUGCACAUGUUGUCACCCACAAGCUUUCAUUUGGCAGUUAAAGGUGACGCCAGCUGUUUAAACAAAGACCGCAUCAGAAACGUUACUCCCCAUCCUUGAGAGACGGGCGUUGACAUGUAGGAGUUUUGCAGACGUCACCUUUAGAAUUUCCAGUGCAUUAUGGUGGCCGCUGUCGCUGAGGGAAGUUUCUGUGAAACCGGAGCAUGAAUGGUUCCUUUUUUAAUUCUGGUUGAGCAGCUCGGCCUUUUCGACCACACGCUGCUCCUCGUCCAUUGACUGCUCAGUGCUAAUGCUCCUUUCUAUUCAAGUGUUCGCACACCACCAAGAGCAGAAGGAGAAACCGGAGCAGUGGCACACUGUACAGAACUACGGUGCCACAGAUUUGAAAUGAAAAUUAAAGAUUUUAUGUUUUUUAAUGACUUUGUUGACUAUGGUGUUUACUUUCCAAGUUAUGCGUGUCCCGUUUGUGGAUGAUUGAAAGUAAAAGAGUAACUGAUAUGGUAAAAUGUCUGACUGCAUGUUAUUUUGUGUGUGUGUGUGUGUGUUUCAACGGGACGGUUGUAGUUGUCAGCAGUUUGUUGAUACAGCAUGUUAACCAAUGUGUUGCAAAGUGCACUUUUUAAAGCCUGGUUAACAUGUUUCAAGGUAAGUUUGUCACCUUUUCUCUCUCUUUUUACACACACACACACACACACACACACACCCUGAUAUCUGUAACUCUUUGUUCUCCUUUCAAUCGGUCAUUUCCUCAAAUUGGUGUAUCCAUUUUUGGGAAUAAUUGAAUUGUGUUAGAUGAUGUCUGACUGGCUGUUUUUAUUCAUCAAAUCAACAGAAAAAGAUGAUGAUUACUUUAUGCUGUGCCAUCAUUGGAAUCGUUGGAUUCUCCUAUCUCUACAGCUUCUUCUCAUAAAAGGGUUCUUAUGCAGUGUUUCUAUGGGAGUGUCAAAGAAAAAAAAGGAAAGUUUCCUAAAGUGCUUCCCCGUGUCUACCCUUACUGUUACUUCAAUCUAUUUUAAAAUCUCGUAAGUAUUUAAAAAGGAAUUGAAACACAUCUGUCCUGUGCACUUGACCUUUUGUUAAUCUUUUUGAAUAAUUUUCUUACUGUAUGAAGUGUUUGAAAACAUGUUAUAAAUGUAUAGCUUUUUCUCUGUCUGCCUGUUCAUUAUCCAGAUGGCUUAACAUCAGGCGUAACAUCGUUUUUGCACCAUUCUGGUCGGUUGUGGUCGACCGCCUCCCGGUGGUGCUUAGAGAGGAUUGGUUUAUUGUCGGGAAGUUAUUUCGAAAGAUUCAUUUAAAAAAAAAAAAUUUUCUUGUAACAUUUCUUGUAUAUGUUGUUGGCUCCAAAGUCUAUUCAUGUUCAUGCACAAUUGUGCGCAGGUCGAAAAUAUAAUUUUAAGUGUUAUUUUCUGACAUGUGUUGUUAUAAUUUGAAUAAAUUCUGUGUGGUUUUGUUGGGUGUGAUCUGUCUGUAUGCACUGAUGGUCUUUUCCGUAUCCGCGGCUUCCACCGGCUCACUGGCUGCGUGUCAAGCCUGUAAAGCCUGUUAUGUAAUAAAUGAUUUCUGUGCGUUAUUGUA